GAUGAACGCUGGCGGCGUGCCUAAUACAUGCAAGUCGAGCGAACAGACGAGGAGCUUGCUCCUCUGACGUUAGCGGCGGACGGGUGAGUAACACGUGGAUAACCUACCUAUAAGACUGGGAUAACUUCGGGAAACCGGAGCUAAUACCGGAUAAUAUAUUGAACCGCAUGGUUCAAUAGUGAAAGACGGUUUUGCUGUCACUUAUAGAUGGAUCCGCGCCGCAUUAGCUAGUUGGUAAGGUAACGGCUUACCAAGGCAACGAUGCGUAGCCGACCUGAGAGGGUGAGCGGCCACACUGGAACUGAGACACGGUCCAGACUCCUACGGGAGGCAGCAGUAGGGACUCUUGCGAAAGGGGCGAAAGCCUGACGGAGCAACGCCGCGUGAGUGAUGAAGGUCUGCGGAUCGUAAAACUCUGUUAUUAGGGAAGAACAAAUGUGUAAGUAACUAUGCACGUCUUGACGGUACCUAAUCAGAAAGCCACGGCUAACUACG
Molecule: ribosomal RNA, 495 nt
Filed under: uncultured bacterium
Lineage: Bacteria
Description: partial 16S ribosomal RNA
Rfam family: Bacterial small subunit ribosomal RNA
Source: RNAcentral